GAUAAGGUUAAGUGAAUAAGGGCGCACGGUGGAUGCCUUGGCACUAGGAGCCGAUGAAGGACGGGACUAACACCGAUAUGCUUUGGGGAGCUGUAAGUAAGCUAUGAUCCAGAGAUUUCCGAAUGGGGGAACCCAAUAUCUUUUAUAGGAUAUUACUUUUCAGUGAAUACAUAGCUGAUUAGAGGUAGACGCAGAGAACUGAAACAUCUUAGUACCUGCAGGAAGAGAAAGAAAAUUCGAUUCCCUGAGUAGCGGCGAGCGAAACGGGAAGAGCCCAAACCAACAAGCUUGCUUGUUGGGGUUGUAGGACUCCAAUAUGGUAGUCUGUUAGUAUAGUUGAAGGAUUUGGAAAAUUCCGCUAAAGAGGGUGAAAGCCCCGUAGACGAAAUGCUGACAACACCUAGGAGGAUCCUGAGUACGGCGGAACACGAGAAAUUCCGUCGGAAUC
Molecule: ribosomal RNA, 448 nt
Filed under: Enterococcus faecalis
Lineage: Bacteria; Bacillati; Bacillota; Bacilli; Lactobacillales; Enterococcaceae
Description: partial 23S ribosomal RNA
Rfam family: Bacterial large subunit ribosomal RNA
Source: RNAcentral